UAAUCAAAGGAGAAAUCCGCUAUGGGAUGGGCCCGCGUCUGAUUAGCUAGUUGGUGAGGUAACGGCUCACCAAGGCGACGAUCAGUAGCCGACCUGAGAGGGUGAUCGGCCACACUGGAACUGAGACACGGUCCAGACUCCUACGGGAGGCAGCAGUGGGGAAUAUUGCACAAUGGGGGAAACCCUGAUGCAGCAACGCCGCGUGAAGGAAGAAGGUCUUCGGAUUGUAAACUUCUUUGAUCGGGGACGAAUAAUGACGGUACCCGAAAAACAAGCCACGGCUAACUACGUGCCAGCAGCCGCGGUAAUACGUAGGUGGCAAGCGUUGUCCGGAAUUAUUGGGCGUAAAGGGCGCGUAGGCGGCCUGAUAAGUCAGAUGUGAAAUCCCGAGGCUCAACCUCGGACUGGCAUUUGAAACUGUCGGGCUAGAGUGCAGGAGAGGAAAGUGGAAUUCCUAGUGUAGCGGUGAAAUGCGUAGAGAUUAGGAGGAACACCAGUGGCGAAGGCGACUUUCUGGACUGUAACUGACGCUGAGGCGCGAAAGCGUGGGGAGCAAACAGGAUUAGAUACCCUGGUAGUCCACGCUGUAAACGAUGGAUACUAGGUGUGGGAGGUAUCGACCCCUUCCGUGCCGCAGUAGACGCAAUAAGUAUCCCGCCUGGGGAGUACGGCCGCAAGGUUGAAACUCAGAGGAAUUGACGGGGGCCCGCACAAGCAGCGG
RNAcentral lists this ribosomal RNA (721 nucleotides) under uncultured bacterium. RNAcentral's name for it is "bacterial SSU rRNA". It matches the Rfam family "Bacterial small subunit ribosomal RNA", at positions 198 to 935 of the family's 1533-position model. The record is from RNAcentral.